Penaeus vannamei (Pacific white shrimp) is the source of this 2767-nucleotide non-coding RNA. Lineage: Eukaryota; Metazoa; Arthropoda; Malacostraca; Decapoda; Penaeidae. The record is from RefSeq and is a predicted model, not a curated record.
UUCACCAUAUUUAAAAAAAAAAUCAUUUAAUAUAAACAACUAAACUGAUACAAAAGAAUUCAACCAGACACGCACACUCACUUAAGCAAAGGGUUUAUGGGAGGGGGGAGGGGGAGGGUGAAGCCGUCUGGAUGAUCUUGUGGAUUGCGAGUUCUAGCAUGUGGUGAUACACUGGUGGAAUGGAACUUUGCUAUACGAAGUAAUGUUGUAGCACGUGAUGGUGGAUGCGUAUGGGGCAGAGGGACACCACCACGUUUUGGUCACUCAUCCUGUUUGCAAAGUGUCAGAACCUGGCUCAGAAUCUGUAGCAACAAUAACAUGUUCUCUGAUCUAGUGGAGGAUCCGGAGAAUGUAGAUUCUGUUCAAGAAAAGUCACAGGGAUUCAUAUAUGAAAAAAUAAAUAAAUAAAAUAGAAAAUAAAAGUAAAAGCCUUUAGCCUACCUACCCUACCAAACUUCUUGAAACAGCAUACAUCUUCUGCACAUAAAAAACAGCUAAUAACAGUGUGACAAGACAACAAAAUUAUAUCAUGAAACAUAUAACAUCAUUAUCAGUGGCAUAUGCACAGACAGAAACAUAUAAUACAUUAAAUUCUUACUCCGUAACUUUAGUUUUAACUCUGCAGUACUUAACUCAGUCUUCAAGCCCAGUUCCCUCUGGUGGAGACGAAAGGCCGAAUCUUUCUACAUCUUGGCAGUGACUGCUGGUUAUAUGGGACAGAUCAGAGUCUGCGCCUCGCUGUAAAUUUUUUUGAGUAAUUUUUGGGUAAGAAUUUUUUUUAUACAAACCUUAAUUAAUCUCCAGGUACUCGGUUCCCGUUCUAAACCUAUCACAAUGGAUCUGACCAAGGAGGAAAGUGGGUCGCUUUAUGUUUUUUUUCUCUCUCCCUCUUCUUUUUUUUUUCUUUUCCCUUUUAAGAACUAACUUGCCAGUCUGCAUUUCCUUUUCAUACUUUUUUUUUUUAAGAUUAACCUAAUUUAUAUAUAUUUUUUAUUAUUAUUAUUAUUCUGUUAUCUUUUAAAAUGACCUGCCAUGAAUUCUGAUCACUGACUUAAUUUUCUCUCCAAGGAAUCGCCACUGACUCUAUCAAGAAAACCCAAAACUCAAUUCAAGCAGACUGGUGCCAAACUGGACAACAUCCUCCAUUUUGAAGUGUCGCCAACAGUCUCCUUUCCAUGCGUGAGUAGCAAUCAGGCACACUUUACUGACAAGCAACUGGGGAAAAAGUGAGCCCAACCACGGCCCACUCCACGAGGGAGACUGCUGGCACCGCUUCUUGUCGUGAAAUGUACAUCUCAUGGCGUAGGCCAACACAGUUCAGUAGGUUGUCCCAGAGGUAAGCUAGCACACUUUUAAGGUUAUUUUGCCUGAAUAUUGGUAGUUGUAUCUAACCCUAAAGAUCGAGCAGUAGCUUAACCUUCUUUCAACCUGUACAUUGUUCCUUAAACUGGAAAAAAACAUUUAAGACAUUGUUCCUCUGAGUUUAGUAUUAUCGUAUGACUGAUUGCAUUGAAUUGAGGUCAUUUGAGGUCUCCACUGUUACCUAUCAAACCAUCAGUCAUUGAGAAGUUCUCUUUCUACUGAAACCAUGAAAAAAAAAACUAUUUACAACUUAAAUGUACCUCAGUAUCAUGGCAAACUUGUUCAUAAUCAGUUAUACAUAGAUAUCUCUAUUCAACACUUGCACUUGUAGCACAAAUCUCACAAAAGUUUAGUUAAAUGUGGCAGUUUACAGCUGUACCCUCUGGAAAAGAGGGAAACUAAUCCAAAUCUUUCACGUCAUUAACAAGAGACAGGCAACAUUAGGGUGCAACCUCUCUAUUGCAAUGAGAUACAGAUCAACUCGAAAACUUAAAAUCAAUAAGAAUAAGGGCAAGACACCAUAGUUGUCAUUUACUUUAUAAUCAAGUGUAUAAAAAAAAACAAAGCACAAAGAAAUUUUGUUCAUAGGAAAUGGAAUAUGUGUUGCAUUUAAUCUAAUAGAAAGUAAUGAUAAACAACACAGGGAUAAUAUGAACUUCUUGAGGAUAGGUGUACCUGUAAUGCUAAUAUUGAUAAUGUUGCAAACUCAAAAUACAUACAUUAACUACACUGUUGUUGAAAACCAGAUGAUACACCAAACAAAUAGCCAAACCAACAUGUAUUUUUUUUCUUUUUACAUUGGACAUGACAAAAAAAAAUCUCUGUGUACAAUCUGACACCCUUGUUAGUUGUAUGAGAUGGUACUGGAUUAAAUAAGUUAAUAAAUAGUUAAAUAGAUAAAUAGAUGAGUCUUGGUUAAUUUCCCCACAACGUCAGGGUGUUUUUAGUGUGUCUAACAGGGCUUACAGACAGAUCAGUUGUUCUACGACCCAUAUAAAAUAUUUAAUGCAGUCAUGUUGAAUAUUUUCUCGGUGAUAUAAAUAGGUUCAGAUGACAAAUUUUUUAAAAAUUCCUUCUUCAUAUACUUUGAAAAUCAUUUCUUUGGAUUCAUUAUUCUUUCACCAAUUCUAGAAGUUCAAUUUUAGGUCAUUAGCCAAUGUCUAGGAAAUUAUUUAGCUUGACAUUCAACCUUUUCACCUUCAUUUUAAGAGAAUUCAUAAUUUCUAAUUUCAUUCACUCUACCAAUAACAUUCUGUAUAUACUUUUCCUCUCUCUUUUAAAUUGCUUAUGAUCUUAAAAUUGUAAAUGGAUCAGCACACUUUUCCCUUGGGUUACGACACUAAAAGACACUCAAAUCUGACUUCACAAGAAAACCUAAAAUCAAAAAAAAAAAAAAAAAAAAAAA